UCAGACGAUGCGUCAUGCAUAUCAAUAAGCGGAGGAAAAGAAACUAACAAGGAUUCCCCUAGUAACGGCGAGUGAAGCGGGAAGAGCUCAAAUUUGAAAUCUUAAAGGGUUUUCCCUUUACGAAUUGUAGUUUAAAGAAGUGUUUUCUGUUGAGGUUUUGGUAAAAGUUCUUUGGAAUAGGACAUCAUAGAGGGUGAGAAUCCCGUAUUUGACCUUUACUUUCAACUUUGUGAUACACUGUCAAAGAGUCGGAUUGUUUGGGAAUGCAGUCCAAAAUGGGUGGUAAAUUUCAUCUAAAGCUAAAUAUUGGCGAGAGACCGAUAGCGAACAAGUACCGUGAGGGAAAGAUGAAAAGAACUUUGAAAAGAGAGUUAAACAGUACGUGAAAUUGUCAAAAGGGAAGCGUUUGACACCAGUGUUGUUUUUCUGAAAAUCAAUUAAAGAACUGUUUAUGCUAAGUUGUUUAGACUUUAUCAGCUAACUGUUUAGUUUUGAGCUUUUCUUUAAUGCACUUUUCAGUUAACAAGUCAACAUCAAUUUCUUUUGCUGUAAAAAAGCUUGAGGAAGGUGGCUUGAGAUUCGUCUUAAGUGUUUAUAGCCUCUUGCCUAUGCAGUCGGAGAGAUUGAGGUCUGCAGCGUAGAUCCUUCGGGGCUAAAUGCAUUUGUGCUAAGUUAUAGCAUUUUAUAGACAACUUGUUGACUAUGAUUUGUCUUGUAGCUUACUCGCUUAUGUUAUUUUACCUACGCUUAGGAUGUUGAGCGCAUGUCUCUCUCU
This 775-nucleotide ribosomal RNA is filed under the name uncultured Neocallimastigales. RNAcentral's name for it is "partial large subunit ribosomal RNA". It matches the Rfam family "Eukaryotic large subunit ribosomal RNA", at positions 18 to 616 of the family's 3401-position model. The record is from RNAcentral. Lineage: Eukaryota; Fungi; Neocallimastigomycota; Neocallimastigomycetes; Neocallimastigales.